UGAGUUAGGUGUACUAAUAACAUGAGCUAACUGACAUACAAUAGUAGAUUUUCUGAAAGUUACUAUUUAUGGAAAUCAACUAUAAAAGGAAAGGUACGUUUCCAUUUCGGGGGGAUAGUUAUGCUCUAAAAACUAAAGUUACUAUUUAUGGAAAUCAACUAUAAAAGGAAAGGUAAGUUUCCAUUUUUGGGGGAUAUUUAUGCUCUAAAAACGAAAGUUACUAUUUAUGGAAAUCUACUAUAAAAGGAAUGGUAAGUUUCCAUUUCAGGGGGGAAUGAUAAGUUUCCAUUUCGGGGGGAUUCUUUUUCUGAAAAUUCAACACUCAUUGCCACAUGUCGCGACAUCAUUGCUCCUAAGUCACUAAUCUGUCCAUGUCAUUAAAGUUUUACUUUUUUUUCCACCAUUUCAAAACUUUAAAAAUGCAUAGAAAAUAGCUCCGGUGUCGGAAAAAUUCACCGAAAAAUGUCACGGACCACUGGUGAGACCCACUUCACAACUGCGUCUGAAUUUUAGUCAUCGGAUUCACAACGUGCCUACUAAUGUAGUAUAACUUGUUUGGUAGGUUAUAUGCUAGUGUACAACUUUGUGAACCAACUAUAUAGAGGAAGCAAAAUUUUCAAAAAUCUCGUGAAAUAGGAUGUGAUCGGUAUAGUAAAAUAUGGCUACGGUAGAAAAAUCACUUUAAUUCGCCAAUGUUUGAGCUCCGAUCGAAGCGGUCAACCUUAUUUACGCUUAUGCUUCACUAAGAAGAGCCCUAUCCUCAGGUGGUAAACGUCCCCAAAGUUUUACAUGGGUGGUCAUGUCUCAUCUAUGUGAGACUUUAUUGUGUUGAAGAAUCGACCAAACUAGGCCACGAAGAGGUAGGUAAGAUAGUUUUCGUGUGAUAAGUGAAGAUGAAUUAGGGUUGGCCGCUUUGAUCGUGCCCCGAAUAUUGUUGAAUCUAGUUGAAUUUUAUACUAUAGCUAUGUUUCACUAUAAUGAUCACAUCAGAUGGUCAAUUUUCAUUUUGUGAAUUUUCAUUGAUUCAAUCUCAAGAACAAUUUUGAUUUUCAGAAUGUCUACUAUUUUGUGAUUUUGCUCAUCCAAAUGGUAGACAUCUCUCAUGAAAAUAGUAGUUGUGUCUUAUGUUAAAUGUAGACUUUGCAACUUUUUCCUUUAAUGAGUUCAAUAUCAAAAACCAUUUUGAUUUCCAGAAAGUCUACUUUUUUGUGAUUUUGCUUAUCUAAAUGGUAAACAUUUCUCAUGAAAAUAGUAGUUGUGUCUUAUGUUAAAUGUAAACUUUACAACUUUCCCCUUCAAUUAUUGAUUCAAUCUCAAGAACAAUUUUGAUUUCCAGAAAGUCUACUUUUUUGUGAUUUUACUUAUCUAAAUGGUAGACAUUUCUCAUGAAAAUAGUAAUUGUGUCUUAUGUUAAAUGUACACACUACUACAAAAAUAUUAUCGUACAACACUCAUCAGACAACCUUUUAGGGUUCCCUACUUGUCUGAUGAAGUGAACUGUUAUAUAUAACGCAAAGUUUCAAAGUUUUGUUGUCUAACGACACGAAAUUGUCAGGUUAUAUUUCAAGAGUUCAAAACACAACAAUGAUGCUAAUUUUCUGUUGUAUGAUUUAUGAAAAUUUUGACGGAAUGAUUCCCCCCAUCACCAAAUUGAAAGUCGUGCAAGAUGCAAAAUGUUUGGAUAAUAGACUUUUAUUUCUUAGUUGUAUGAUUUUGUUACAAUUUAUACUAGGUAAUACCUAGUGCAAGUUUAGAAAAUAUAUACAACAGUUUAAAACAUUAUGUUGUGUGAUUGGAAAAUUUGGUGACAUGCCAAAGUCGUUUUGGCUCUAAAGUUUGCCUCCAUUGAUUUGGUGUGCAAUCAAAUCAAUAACUACGACUCAAUCAAAACCUAUAGCUCAACCAAAAUAUCCCUCUCUCGACAUCACACUCUCUCAACCAUUCAAGCCACAUAUAACAUUCUUGUUCAUUCCCUCGCGCCUCUGAGCUCUCUCCAUCCCAAAAACACCUAGCUCUCUCUCUCUCUAAACACCCAGCCUCUCUCUCCCAGCAAACUCUCGAGCCCUCAACUAUCUCUCCCUAACACCCGCGUGAGCCCUCGAUCACUUCUCUCUCACUCAGCCCUCUUCCAUAACAUUCUCAGCAAUCUCCCCCAAUUUCAAAAACCUAAUUUUGAUUUCAGAUCGAUUCUUUUCUGGACAUGAUGAUGUCACUGAUGUCAUCGCGACAAUCUUGAUAUGGAAUCGUAUGUGUUUUCAUCAUGGUCGUCAGAGAAUCUAGUAAUCUUCCCGUCAUGGUCUCCUCUUUGCCCUAACAUUUUGAUUUUCUGAAUUUUGGGAUUUUGAUUUCUGAUGCUAUUGCUUCCUUUGUUGCAGAUGAAAAUCAAAAUUGUGGUCAAAGACAGAGGAAUAGGAAGUUGCAGUGCAAACCAGAGCCCCAAAUUGAAGAGUUN
RNAcentral lists this long non-coding RNA (2452 nucleotides) under Fragaria vesca (wild strawberry). RNAcentral describes it as "long non-coding RNA (FVES_LNC001244)". The record is from RNAcentral. Lineage: Eukaryota; Viridiplantae; Streptophyta; Magnoliopsida; Rosales; Rosaceae.